Aotus nancymaae (Ma's night monkey) is the source of this 137-nucleotide ribosomal RNA. Lineage: Eukaryota; Metazoa; Chordata; Mammalia; Primates; Aotidae. The record is from Ensembl.
AUCUACAGCCACACCACCCUGAAUGCACCCAAUCUAAUCUGAUCUCAGAAGCUAAGCAGGGUUGAGCCUGCUUAGUACUUUGAUGGGAAUAAUGGAUAUCCCAAUUACCCUGAAUUGAUUAUUACACAUUGUAGACA